GACGAACGCUGGCGGCAUGCCUAACACAUGCAAGUCGAACGAAACCUCCGGGACUUGUGGCGCACGGGUGCGUAACGCGUGGGAAGCUUCCCUUAGGUUCGGAAUACCUCCCCGAAAGGGGUGCUAAUACCGGAUAAUGUCUUCGGACCAAAGAUUUAUCGCCUUUGGUUGGGCCCGCGUUGGAUUCGCUCGUUGGGAGGGUAAAAGCCUACCAAGGCGACGAUCCAUAACUGGUCAGAGAGGCAGAUCCGCCACACUGGGACUGAGACACGGCCCAGACUCCUACGCGAGGGAGCAGUGGGUAAUAGAGGACAACGGGCGAAAGCCUGAUCCAGCAAGGCCGCGUGAGUGAUGAAGUCCUUAGGGUUGUAAUGUUCUUUUACCCGGGAAGAUAAUGACAGUACCGGGAGAAUAAGCCCCGGCUAACUCCGUG
RNAcentral lists this ribosomal RNA (433 nucleotides) under uncultured bacterium. RNAcentral's name for it is "partial 16S ribosomal RNA". It matches the Rfam family "Bacterial small subunit ribosomal RNA", at positions 28 to 507 of the family's 1533-position model. The record is from RNAcentral.